UACGUAGGGUGCAACCGUUGUUCGGAAUCACUGGGCCUAAAGAGCGCGUAGGCGGUCUGACAAGUCCCCUGUGAAAGCCCCCGGCUUAACCGGGGAACUGCAUGGGAUACUGUUGGGCUAGAGUGCAGGAGGGGAGAGCGGAAUUCCUGGUGGAGCGGUGAAAUGCGUAGAUAUCAGGAGGAACGCCGGCGGCGAAAGCGACUCUCUGGCCUGUAACUGACGCUGAGGCGCGAAAGCUAGGGGAGCAAACGGG
RNAcentral lists this ribosomal RNA (253 nucleotides) under uncultured bacterium. RNAcentral's name for it is "partial 16S ribosomal RNA". It matches the Rfam family "Bacterial small subunit ribosomal RNA", at positions 524 to 776 of the family's 1533-position model. The record is from RNAcentral.